This 468-nucleotide ribosomal RNA is filed under the name uncultured bacterium. RNAcentral's name for it is "partial 16S ribosomal RNA". It matches the Rfam family "Bacterial small subunit ribosomal RNA", at positions 28 to 507 of the family's 1533-position model. The record is from RNAcentral.
GACGAACGCUGGCGGCGUGCUUAACACAUGCAAGUCGAACGGAAAGGCCCUGCUUUUGUGGGGUGCUCGAGUGGCGAACGGGUGAGUAACACGUGAGUAACCUGCCCUUGACUUUGGGAUAACUUCAGGAAACUGGGGCUAAUACCGGAUAGGAGCUCCUGCUGCAUGGUGGGGGUUGGAAAGUUUCGGCGGUUGGGGAUGGACUCGCGGCUUAUCAGCUUGUUGGUGGGGUAGUGGCUUACCAAGGCUUGGACGGGUAGCCGGCCUGAGAGGGUGACCGGCCACAUUGGGCCUGGGAUACGGCCCAGACUCCUACGGGAGGCAGCAGUGGGGAAUAUUGCACAAUGGGCGGAAGCCUGAUGCAGCAACGCCGCGUGCGGGAUGACGGCCUUCGGGUUGUAAACCGCUUUCGCCUGUGACGAAGCGUGAGUGACGGUAAUGGGUAAAGAAGCACCGGCUAACUACGUG